GAUGAACGCUGGCGGCGUGCCUAAUACAUGCAAGUCGAGCGAACAGACGAGGAGCUUGCUCCUCUGACGUUAGCGGCGGACGGGUGAGUAACACGUGGAUAACCUACCUAUAAGACUGGGAUAACUUCGGGAAACCGGAGCUAAUACCGGAUAAUAUAUUGAACCGCAUGGUUCAAUAGUGAAAGACGGUUUUGCUGUCACUUAUAGAUGGAUCCGCGCCGCAUUAGCUAGUUGGUAAGGUAACGGCUUACCAAGGCAACGAUGCGUAGCCGACCUGAGAGGGUGAUCGGCCACACUGGAACUGAGACACGGACCAGACUCCUACGGGAGGCAGCAGUAGGGAAUCUUCCGCAAUGGGCGAAAGCCUGACGGAGCAACGCCGCGUGAGUGAUGAAGGUCCUCGGAUCGUAAAACUCUGUUAUUAGGGAAGAACAAAUGUGUAAGUAACUAUGCACGUCUUGACGGUACCUAAUCAGAAAGCCACGGCUAACUACGUG
Molecule: ribosomal RNA, 497 nt
Filed under: uncultured bacterium
Lineage: Bacteria
Description: partial 16S ribosomal RNA
Rfam family: Bacterial small subunit ribosomal RNA
Source: RNAcentral